AAAUACAUUUUGAAAAUGUAAAAGUAAUGAUGUAUUCUUAGCUAACUAGCUACAGUGGAGGCUAACUCAGAUGAGCUGCUAACGUAGCUAGCUAGCUAGCUAUCUAGACAACUUUACAUACUGUACAGCUAGUUAGCUAAGUUAAUUAAAUAUCACCAGCUACUUAACUUCAUAUUAGCUAGCUAUUGUGAUCUAUUUAUCAUUGUAAAAAAUAAAAAAUAGCAUUUGUAGGAAGCUAGCUAAGGAUAGCAGCUCCAACUGAAUAGGGCAGGUACUUUGGUGUAGUUCCAGUCUCUAGAAAGGAGUGAGGACAGAGAUGAUAGUAGCACCAUAAUAUUCAGUGCUGUCUAAUUGAAGUAUAAGGAAGUCUGGUUUUUGUGAUGUUUUCUGUCCUCAGCUACAGAGAGCUAUGGACGCCUGUUGUAUGCAGAUGAAGAGCGGUGGUUCUCAGUCUAGGUCCUGGGGACUCAAAAGGGGUGCACAUUUUUGUUUUUGCUUUAGCACUACACAGCUGAUUCAAAUUAUCAACUCAUCAUCAAGCUUCAAACAGUAUUUAUGUAUUCAUUUUUGAUGCCAUCCUUGAUAUGAACCUUCUGCUGUCACAUUCUACACAUGCAUCUAUCUAUAUUCUAUGUUAUCAUGUUUUGUUAUAAGAGAUAUUAUACUUUCAGUAAUCCACAAUGACCUGAUGAUGUAAAAGUCUAAUAAUGACAUUAUCUUCCAUAUUCCUACAGAUACCUUGCAACUGGAGAUUCCUCCUAAACAAUUCCCUACAGUUACCGUGUAGGGCACCGCACGAUUGGGUGGCCAGGGCCACCUGGGAAUGCCUCGUGGGGAAAUUCAGGCAUGUGUGAAGGCUACCUGUGUCCUGCAUAACUUCAUGAGGAUGGACACGAGGACCAGGAGGGGACCUGCAGCUUGCUGCCGUGUGCCAGAGGAGAGGUCUGCUGCUCUGCAGGAUGUUGCAAGGAUGGGGGCCAACAAUGCAGCACUGGAGGCAAUCCGUGUGGGAAGGCCUUUACCUCCUACUUCCCUGGCAACACCAUAUACCACACUAUGCAUAACCAAAGGCUCUUUUAAGAGCCACCCACCUUGCAAUAAGAGUAUUCUUCCAUUUACUUAGGUAUGUCAACUGCAGUUAUUCCAUUUCCAGUUUCUCUCCCUUUGAUUUAUACUUCUUAAGUGAGGGUGCCGUUUAGGUAAAAUUAUUUUAAAAAAAUUAAAAAAAAUGUUUACCUUAUUUAACGGUGCUGUUCAGGUAAGGGUGAUGUCUGUACAUAAACAAAGAGUCACCCACAUUGAAAAAAAUGUGAACAAUAAGACACCCUACAACCCACACCUACAUUGUGUAUCAAUCUGAUUGAUGGAUUGUAUUGUGCAGUAAGCAGGCUCAGGUGUAUAACUGUGGCUCCUUCCACCUUCAAAGAAUAGGCAAGAGGACCAACCAUGGAGAAUAGUUAGAUCAGCUGUGUCGGUGAACCCCUCCUGCUUCCGAACUGCCUGACACAUAGAGGGCACAGCAUGAUCAGAGGUAUGUUUUGGUGUGAGAGAGGAUGCCAACCCCCAGCCCCGUCAUCGCCACCUCACCGACUCUAAAAUAACCCUCUGGCCAACUGGGGGCCCAAGAAUGGUUAGGAGACACUGUUAGAGACACUUAUGUAAUUGUGAUGACCUGAGAGAAUGUGUAUUUUCAUUAAUCAUAUGCUGUCUUCCCUGCUCCGGUCUUGUCUCUUUCCCUUUCUGUCUAUUACACUUUCUCUCAUGCCUUUCUCCCCACCUCAUCUUUCUUCCUCUGUUUUUAGAAUGCCCACCAGAUGUGCAUUGAAGUACAGAUUGAACUUAUAUUUAUAAUAUUACGUAUUUAUAACAUUUAAACUUGGAUAAUGAACUUCUUCAAUAAAGCUUUUCACAUUC
Long non-coding RNA from Oncorhynchus nerka (sockeye salmon), 1914 nucleotides. RefSeq lists it as uncharacterized. The record is from RefSeq and is a predicted model, not a curated record. Lineage: Eukaryota; Metazoa; Chordata; Actinopteri; Salmoniformes; Salmonidae. The transcript has 3 exons.